RNAcentral lists this ribosomal RNA (301 nucleotides) under uncultured bacterium. Its description in RNAcentral is "partial 16S ribosomal RNA". It matches the Rfam family "Bacterial small subunit ribosomal RNA", at positions 509 to 808 of the family's 1533-position model. The record is from RNAcentral.
CAGCCGCCACGGGAAUACGGAGGGUGCGAGCGUUAAUCGGAAUUACUGGGCGUAAAGCGUACGCAGGCGGUUUGUUAAGUCAGAUGUGAAAUCCCCGAGCUUAACUCGGGAACUGCAUUUGAAACUGGCAGGCUAGAGUCUCGUAGAGGGGGGUAGAAUUCCAGGUGUAGCGUGAAAUGCGUAGAGAUCUGGAGGAAUACCGGUGGCGAAGGCGGCCCCCUGGACGAAGACUGACGCUCAGGUACGAAAGCGUGGGGAGCAAACAGGAUUAGAUACCCGGGUAGUCCCUGUCUCUUAUACC